This 253-nucleotide ribosomal RNA is filed under the name uncultured bacterium. RNAcentral's name for it is "partial 16S ribosomal RNA". It matches the Rfam family "Bacterial small subunit ribosomal RNA", at positions 524 to 776 of the family's 1533-position model. The record is from RNAcentral.
UACGUAGGGUCCGAGCGUUGUCCGGAGUUACUGGGCGUAAAGCGUGCGCAGGCGGUUAUGUAAGACAGGUGUGAAAUCCCCGGGCUUAACCUGGGAACUGCAUUUGUGACUGCAUAGCUAGAGUACGGUAGAGGGGGAUGGAAUUCCGCGUGUAGCAGUGAAAUGCGUAGAUAUGCGGAGGAACACCGAUGGCGAAGGCAAUCCCCUGGACCUGUACUGACGCUCAUGCACGAAAGCGUGGGGAGCAAACAGG